Molecule: small nucleolar RNA, 135 nt
Filed under: Dasypus novemcinctus (nine-banded armadillo)
Lineage: Eukaryota; Metazoa; Chordata; Mammalia; Cingulata; Dasypodidae
Description: Small nucleolar RNA SNORA70 (ENSDNOG00000039135.1)
Rfam family: Small nucleolar RNA SNORA70
About the family: snoRNA U70 seems to be exclusive to mammals and is a member of the H/ACA class of snoRNA which contain H (ANANNA) and ACA box motifs. H/ACA box snoRNAs are involved in the conversion of uridines to pseudouridines (5-ribosyluracil) a constituent of structural RNAs (transfer, ribosomal, small nuclear, and small nucleolar).
Source: RNAcentral
CUGAAGCCAACUAAGCCGACUGUCCCCCUCUCCCCAUGGGGGCCCAUUGUGCAGUGGCUGUGGACAGCAGCCUCCUUGGUAGAGUAUGUGGCCUGUUGCUUGUACAGGUUGCCCUGAGGGACCUGAGGGACCUUG